The sequence is a non-coding RNA, 192 nucleotides long. It matches the Rfam family "T-box leader". From Rfam's summary of the family: Uncharged tRNA acts as the effector for transcription antitermination of genes in the T-box leader family. T-boxes are found upstream of many aminoacyl-tRNA synthetase genes and some amino acid biosynthetic genes usually in Gram-positive bacteria.
AUUAAAGCAAUGAGGGGGAAAGUAGAUAUUUAAAGAACAUCACAGAGAUUGAAUGACAUAGGCUGAGAUCAUUCAAAUGUUCUGAAUAUCGAAGACCACCCCGGAGCUGCGGAUGAUGAGUCCGAACGGUUAUUCCGAUAUAAUACCAGAGUAUAAAAAAGAGUGGAACCGCAGAUAACCUCUGCCUCUUUA